UACUUCCCAGUGGGGGUAAGUAAGCAGAUAAUUACAAAGAGGCUAGACCCUAGGCCUUCUUUCUAACUGGUCUCCUGGCUUCCAUUUAUUUCCUCCGUUCCAAUCCAUGUCGCUUGCUCUGCCCAGUUGACAUUCCUAAGGUACAGUGACAGUUCUGCCAGGUCCCUUCAUUAGCUCUUCAUUGCUAAUGUAAGUCCUCAACAUGUUCUUAUGGUGUUCACAAAAUGCCCCAGACUGCUUCUCCAGAUACCCUCCAUGGUUCGCCCCAUCUUGCCCUUCACUGCAGCUCAUCCACCAGUUGGAAUAUCCUGCCUCUGUCUUUCUUCUUAUAGUUACCUCUCCCAUCACUUCUAUCUGUAAAAACCUUAACAAUGGGUCUAUUUGCCUAUAGACCCCCAACCUAUAUACCUCCCAACCCUAGAAGGUAUAACUCUUUCCUCCAAUAGAGCUUCAAACUGUCUUAUCAUCUUCCCGAUACUCAGAAAACGGAUGGUUUGAUGAGCAACCACAUCUGUUGGAGAUGCAGAGAGCUGCAGCGUCACUCUGCCUUCUGGGAUUAACAAGCAAACCCUGAGAGCCAGCAGCAGCAGCAACUAGGGUUCCGUGGGAGAGACAGCAGUCCAGAGCAGUCAGGGGCACCUUGGAGUCAUGGAAUAAGAAUGCAGAUGGAACCAAAGCCAGCUACACUCAGUAAGGGCCAUCGCCAGUGUCAUGAUGCGGAGAGCACAGUGUGUGGCCUCUAGAGUCGCUGGCUUGGGGCAUGCACAGCGAACUGCACCAAGUCCUCGGAAGCAAUCUGUUUGCACCUCCGCCACCAAAGUUUCCCGGUUUCCCUCAGUCGCGCAUAAAGGCUAUCGCCUUUCAACUCCCUGGACAUGUUAUUUUUACAUCUGCUGUGCCAGUUGCUACCUGGUGAACCCCCUCUAAACCUUGGAGUUAAACUCUCGGGUCUGAGAGAUGCUUGAUCUCGUGAGAGAGCCUAAGGACAGGUGAGAACCAGCAUUAAUUCUGUGAGCUACUGGCUGUUUCUUGGGAGCGCUUUGUUUUGACUUGAGGCACUCUGCAUGGCCAGGGACCUCUCUGAAUGACACAGCUUUAGUUCUUUUUUGCUGUUAACAAACCAGGCUACUUGCUGACAAACAGCUCCGCUGCCCUCACCACUGUCAUCCCAGGGGCCAGCGAGGCUUGCUCCGACUGGCCUGAGGUAUCUUGUGCUUUCUCUCUCCACCUGCAGUGUUUCUAGUAGAGGCCUCAGCACAUCACUGCCCAUUUUUUCAUCCUCAGUCUUCUUUCCCUUCAGGAAUCAGCAUGAUCAGAAGAGCCCCCGUUAGGAAGAAACAUGCUGAA
RNAcentral lists this long non-coding RNA (1347 nucleotides) under Capra hircus (goat). RNAcentral's name for it is "lncRNA (ENSCHIG00010028732.1)". The record is from RNAcentral. Lineage: Eukaryota; Metazoa; Chordata; Mammalia; Artiodactyla; Bovidae.